GACCGCGUAGCUCUGUUGGCAGAGCAUUGAACUGGUGUUCCAAAGAUCGUAAUGGUUCGAUUCCCACCGUGGCCA
Molecule: non-coding RNA, 75 nt
Organism: Paramuricea clavata
Lineage: Eukaryota; Metazoa; Cnidaria; Anthozoa; Malacalcyonacea; Plexauridae
Source: the annotation of a GenBank genome assembly